GUAGGUGGCAAGCGUUGUCCGGAAUUAUUGGGCGUAAAGCGCGCGCAGGCGGUCCUUUAAGUCUGAUGUGAAAGCCCACGGCUCAACCGUGGAGGGUCAUUGGAAACUGGGGGACUUGAGUACAGAAGAGGAAAGCGGAAUUCCAAGUGUAGCGGUGAAAUGCGUAGAGAUUUGGAGGAACACCAGUGGCGAAGGCGGCUUCCUGGUCUGUAACUGACGCUGAGGCGCGAAAGCGUGGGGAGCAAACAGGAUUAGAUACCCUGGUAGUCCACGCCGUAAACGAUGAGUGCUAAGUGUUAGGGGGUUUCCCGCCCCCUUAGUGCUGCAGCUAACGCAUUAAGCACUCCGCCUGGGGGAGUACGGCCCGCAAGGCUG
Molecule: ribosomal RNA, 375 nt
Filed under: uncultured organism
Description: partial 16S ribosomal RNA
Rfam family: Bacterial small subunit ribosomal RNA
Source: RNAcentral